GACGAACGCUGGCGGCGUGCUUAACACAUGCAAGUCGAACGAGAGCGUAGAGAAAGCUUGCUUUUUCUACAAUCUAGUGGCAAACGGGUGAGUAACGCGUAAACAACCUGCCCUACGGAUGGGGACAACAGCUGGAAACGGCUGCUAAUACCGAAUACGUUCCGAAAGUCGCAUGACUAUCGGAAGAAAGGAUGGCCUCUAUUUAUAAGCUAUCGCCGGAGGAGGGGUUUGCGUCUGAUUAGCUAGUUGGAGGGGUAACGGCCCACCAAGGCGACGAUCAGUAGCCGGUCUGAGAUGAUGGACGGCCACAUUGGGACUGAGACACGGUCCAGACUCCUACGGGAGGCAGCAGUGGGGAAUCUUCCGCAAUGGGCGAAAGCCUGACGGAGCAACGCCGCGUGAGUGAAGACGGCCUUCGGGUUGUAAAGCUCUGUUAUACGGGACGAAUAAUCUUGUGGUUAAUACCCAUGAGAAGUGACGGUACCGUAAGAGAAAGCCACGGCUAACUACGUG
This 513-nucleotide ribosomal RNA is filed under the name uncultured bacterium. RNAcentral describes it as "partial 16S ribosomal RNA". It matches the Rfam family "Bacterial small subunit ribosomal RNA", at positions 28 to 507 of the family's 1533-position model. The record is from RNAcentral.